GUUUAACAUUCAUAACACCACUUAUCAUGUAGACAUCAUUUACUGCCCUAAUUUACAGUGAACUGGAGCUCCGAGAGUCACGUUGAUUUAACCACAGUCCCAGGCUACCAAGUGUCCAAGCUGUGCUGCUUCCAAGCUGCCUGACCCAGACCUGAGCUCUUAACCUCUCAAUGGGCAUCCAGGUCGAAAGCAGAAUCUCUGGCUCAAGUGCCGACUGCCCAGCUGUUUCAGAACUCCACCAUGCACCCAACUGCUCCUCCAGGACUUCCCUACGGAUGUGUUGCAGGCUCUGAAACGUCACACAUCCACGCCGCAUCCUCAUCCCACACAUGCUCCUGCUUGUCCCUGGCAUCUGCCAUUCUCAGUGCCAUUCACUAGCCUAUAUGAUGCCUUCGAAUCAGAGGAAGUUACCUCUCCCUCCAGGGAUACGGGCCCACACCUGGUCUCAGGGACCCUUUAGUGGAGGCACAGUCUAUAUAGCCCAGAGCAGUGCCCCUGAUGCCAUCGUCUUCCAAUUUGCUCAGAGCAGACACUGGGAUUCAUCCUUAAUAUCUCUCUCUUCUCUCUCUCUCUCUCUCUCUCUCUCUCGCGGAGGCCCCACUGCCCUUGCAUUCCACAGGAAGUCCCAGUUGCUGGCAUGACCUGAGAGGUUCCUGGGACCACGCCAUGGAAAUGCGUCCGGUCCCAGUGUGACGGGGAAGAGCCGCGCCUGAAGCUCAACUUCCGAGGCUCUCAUCAAUCUACGCUUCCUUUGGAGCGUGCAGCCACCAGGUGGCAGCCGAGGCCACGGGCAGACAGAAAAGCUCCCGAAACUGAAGGACUGCCAGGCAGCAGAGUUCCGGAGGGCUCCCAGGACCUUCAACCAGAAAGAGACAGAGCAUAUGCGCAUAUCCCUGCAAGGAAUGUACUAUAGAGCCAAUUUUACCGGCAAAGGAAUGGAAGAUCUGAAAGGCUAGGCGAUCCCACAAGCAUCGAGGAGCAGGCUGGAAUUUGAACCAAUCGGCAUGAUUCCCAAGCUCAAGCUUUUGGCCACCCCUGCACUGCCAGGGACAAAAAAAAAAAAAAAAAAAAACCCUGGGAGGAGAGCCAAGCUAGGGAGUCAAGACCCUCCAGCCAGGUCUGGAUGGGAGGCAGGUGCCUCCACCCUGGUCCCAGAGCAAGUUCUGCUGGCUUCAGCCACCUGACUUCCCUGUGAAGGUGGGUAGAGGCCAGAGCAGACUGUGUGUGAUUCUGGCCCCAGCCCCAGCACCUCUACCCCCACCUUUACUACCCCUAGGCUGCGGGAAGAGGCUUUGCCCAGCAAUAGUCCUGAUCUAAUGGAUCCUUGAAGCACAAUAAACAGAUAGUAUUUCUGCAUGUGUCACUCUGAGUAUGACGGCAGUAAUCUUGAAACUCCC
RNAcentral lists this long non-coding RNA (1397 nucleotides) under Homo sapiens (human). RNAcentral describes it as "non-protein coding LINC00853:1". Lineage: Eukaryota; Metazoa; Chordata; Mammalia; Primates; Hominidae. The record is from RNAcentral.